AUCUCAACUCUCACCCAUUGCGACUUUGAAUUUUUUCUCUCCUCCUCUCACGGCCUCACUCUCGUCUCUGAACCCUCUACGCGACGCUGACGCUGCCGUCGCCUUCCGUCCAUUAGCAAUUCCUUUGUGCUGAUUGAUUGAGAAUGGAGAUGGGUAAAUCUUAUUACAAGGACUCUUUGCAAUGUGUAAGAAUUGCUGUAAAUAUUAGACCACUGAUUAAAUCCGAGCUUGAUGUAGGAUGUACUAACUGCAUCUCCGUGUUCCUAGCUGAAAGUCACGUAGUCAUUCAACUAAUUUUUUUACAAGGUUUGCUGCAUUGAGUUUUAUAUGUGAGGGGAUGGGUUUGAACUUUGGACAUUAAGUUUGUUCUGGAGUUCCAUGGGUGAGAUCUUAUUUGGGGAAAGAACUACAUUUUUUUAGAGCACGAGUUCCUUCUGUAUAUGAUUUUUAGCAUUUCAGGAAGGAGAAGUUUGCUUCUUUUUUGCACAGCGUCUCUUAAAAUCCAAACUGAUAGAUGCAUAUUGAUAUGUAUAAGUUAUUACCAUGGAGGUUCAAUAAGCUUGUUUUAAUAUUGCUCGUAGACUAGUAAAUUAAGUUGCAGAAUAUCGUUUGAAGGGUAUCAUUAUUUUUUCUGUCUAACUAUAUUAAAAUAAAUAGCGCCGGAUUUGGUGACCAGCUUACUCUUAUUAUUGAUUCGAUCAUGUUCAUAAAUGUGUUUAACAUUUUUUGUUUUGGGGUGGAGGAGGAUGAGGGAGAUGCACUGCACAAAGUGUGAGAGUUGUUAAAAUUUUGAGAAUAUUCAAAACUAAGUUAGCAAAAGAGCGUACAUUAAAAUUUUGAGAAUAUUCAAUUUUGACCAGAUGUACUGUUUUUUACUAUUGAAGAACUUGGUGCGAGUUCAGAUUUUUUGAGGAAUACUUUUGGGUUUCAAUUAUGUAAUAUGAGUAUUAAAAGAGCGUACAUUGAGAUUUUGUAGGUCCAAUGAUAGGACAAUGGAAAAUCUCCAUUUUUUAAGUGAAUAGCAAAAUAUCGAGAAAUCGAUUGUUUAAGAGAAAAUAUAUAAUUUAAUUUUUGACCACACAACGAAGAAUGUAUGGGUCUGCAACUGAUAGUGUUGUGAUGCUUUUGUUGUAGUGUUAAUUUGAGGAUUCUGGUGGAGCAGCAUAAAUAGAAUUUUGUUCUUCAUCUCCAAUGACAAAUUAUGUGAUUUGAAAAUUUGAACCUCGAGAAUGUAAGUUUCCUUUUUUUUUUUUUUUUUUUUUUUUUUUUUUUUUUUUUUUCUAUUUAUGUUUAUAAUAUUUUUGGCAAAUAAUUUUCAUUUUUUAUUAAUUUACAUGUUAUCGAUGUAUAAUUUGUUUUAUUUAACAAUGUAUAAAGAUGACAUGUAUUUGAUUUAGAUACAAGCAGUUUAAAG
Molecule: long non-coding RNA, 1414 nt
Filed under: Olea europaea subsp. europaea
Lineage: Eukaryota; Viridiplantae; Streptophyta; Magnoliopsida; Lamiales; Oleaceae
Source: RNAcentral